AUGGCAUACCACUCUGAACGUGCCCGAUCUCAUCUGAUCCCAGAAGCUAAGCAGGCUCAGGCCUGGUUAGUGCUUGGAUGGGAGUUAAAAACCUCCCAAGCACAGAGCCAUU
RNAcentral lists this ribosomal RNA (112 nucleotides) under Microcebus murinus (gray mouse lemur). Lineage: Eukaryota; Metazoa; Chordata; Mammalia; Primates; Cheirogaleidae. The record is from RNAcentral.